This 595-nucleotide unclassified non-coding RNA is filed under the name Hevea brasiliensis (rubber tree). The record is from RNAcentral. Lineage: Eukaryota; Viridiplantae; Streptophyta; Magnoliopsida; Malpighiales; Euphorbiaceae.
CUGGCAUGUGGAGAACCCAUAUCAUCCUUAUCCAUUGGCCUGACCCCUGAAUCAAUAUCUUGUUCUGGUGGUAAUGUAUCCAUCAUGAUAUCCUCAUCAAAAUUUACAACAACAUACGGAUCCCUGCCAGUAGGAAUUUGAUCUUGAAGUGUUAUUUCCUCCUGACUCCUAACAUGAUUAUCCGGAGACCCAUCAGGAUAUAUGUCCAAGUCCACAUCCAAGGCAUCAAGGUCAAAUGUUUGUGGCAAAGUAACAGAUUCAAAUUUUGCUGUUGUGGCAUUCUCUGGCAAAUUAACUUCUGUGGAAGUGAAGGCCUUACUUAAGCCAAUAAGAAUGACAUUGCAAUCAUGGUAAAGAUAAUCAACUUUCUUUGAAUAUAUCCGAACAACACCUAACAGCAGGUGGCCGGACAUUCUCAGCGCGAUGGGAACUUCUGGGAACAUGAUGCGAUCAACGGUGGAGGAGAUAUCGGUGGAAGUAUAGUGAGACUUCUUGAGGCGAUGCUGUAGGUGAGCAGCACACCACACUGUCCCGAGUGGGCCCUUCUUGGCCAGAAACGUCUGCGAAUAAAACAUCUUCUACCUCCCUGACUUCC